UAAGCAUCCUCGCCUCCAGUCCUCCUGACAGCCUGUGGUUAGAUGCCACCGUGGCAGCUCAGAGUUCUGGAACCUGCCUCAGGGGUAGGACAGCCGGAAGCAAAUGCAAAGGCUUCCCAGGAUUCGGGGCUACAUCGGGGAGUUCCUGCAGUACCCUACGUGUCGUGAGUCGUGGUCCUCCUAGCUCAGCACGGAAGUCCUUCGUCACGCUUGGGUUCUGCCUGCUGAAAUAGAUGCUUGUCCAGGCCCGAGACAAGUCCUUCCUCUCCAUGUCACCAGGGCCCAGCUCAGCAGUGCAACUCAAGCAAGAACUGGUGAGUGUGUGUCCUAAUUGUCUUUUCUGAGCUGCUUGUAUU
Molecule: long non-coding RNA, 356 nt
Filed under: Mustela putorius furo (domestic ferret)
Lineage: Eukaryota; Metazoa; Chordata; Mammalia; Carnivora; Mustelidae
Description: lncRNA (ENSMPUG00000028514.1)
Source: RNAcentral